RNAcentral lists this ribosomal RNA (848 nucleotides) under Alternaria destruens. RNAcentral describes it as "partial large subunit ribosomal RNA". It matches the Rfam family "Eukaryotic large subunit ribosomal RNA", at positions 69 to 935 of the family's 3401-position model. The record is from RNAcentral. Lineage: Eukaryota; Fungi; Ascomycota; Dothideomycetes; Pleosporales; Pleosporaceae.
CAGGGAUUGCCCUAGUAACGGCGAGUGAAGCGGCAACAGCUCAAAUUUGAAAUCUGGCUCUUUUAGAGUCCGAGUUGUAAUUUGCAGAGGGCGCUUUGGCUUUGGCAGCGGUCCAAGUUCCUUGGAACAGGACGUCACAGAGGGUGAGAAUCCCGUACGUGGUCGCUGGCUAUUGCCGUGUAAAGCCCCUUCGACGAGUCGAGUUGUUUGGGAAUGCAGCUCUAAAUGGGAGGUACAUUUCUUCUAAAGCUAAAUAUUGGCCAGAGACCGAUAGCGCACAAGUAGAGUGAUCGAAAGAUGAAAAGCACUUUGGAAAGAGAGUCAAACAGCACGUGAAAUUGUUGAAAGGGAAGCGCUUGCAGCCAGACUUGCUUACAGUUGCUCAUCCGGGUUUUUACCCGGUGCACUCUUCUGUAGGCAGGCCAGCAUCAGUUUGGGCGGUAGGAUAAAGGUCUCUGUCACGUACCUCCUUUCGGGGAGGCCUUAUAGGGGAGACGACAUACUACCAGCCUGGACUGAGGUCCGCGCAUCUGCUAGGAUGCUGGCGUAAUGGCUGUAAGCGGCCCGUCUUGAAACACGGACCAAGGAGUCUAACAUCUAUGCGAGUGUUUGGGUGUCAAGCCCGAGCGCGUAAUGAAAGUGAACGGAGGUGGGAACCCGCAAGGGUGCACCAUCGACCGAUCCUGAUGUCUUCGGAAGGAUUUGAGUAAGAGCAUGGCUGUUGGGACCCGAAAGAUGGUGAACUAUGCUUGAAUAGGGUGAAGCCAGAGGAAACUCUGGUGGAGGCUCGCAGCGGUUCUGACGUGCAAAUCGAUCGUCAAAUUUGGGCAUAGGGGCGAAAGACUAAU